This 60-nucleotide small RNA is filed under the name Salmonella enterica subsp. enterica serovar Saintpaul. RNAcentral's name for it is "partial RtT sRNA". It matches the Rfam family "RtT RNA", at positions 71 to 130 of the family's 130-position model. From Rfam's summary of the family: This family represents a bacterial cis-regulatory element known as RtT RNA. The exact function of RtT is unknown although it is thought that it may be involved in changing the cellular response in relation to amino acid starvation. The record is from RNAcentral. Lineage: Bacteria; Pseudomonadati; Pseudomonadota; Gammaproteobacteria; Enterobacterales; Enterobacteriaceae.
CGCAGGCAACGACCCGAAGGGCGAAGCGCGCAGCGCUGAGGCAUCCUUCCCCCACCACCA